GUGGGAGGGGGCUUGCUCCCGAUGGCAGUAUUUCAGUCGGUAUAUAUGUUGACUGAUUCACCGCCAUCGGGAGCAAGCCCCCUCCCAC
This 88-nucleotide unclassified non-coding RNA is filed under the name Pseudomonas palleroniana. The record is from RNAcentral. Lineage: Bacteria; Pseudomonadati; Pseudomonadota; Gammaproteobacteria; Pseudomonadales; Pseudomonadaceae.